Non-coding RNA from Acanthosepion pharaonis, 114 nucleotides. The record is from the annotation of a GenBank genome assembly. NCBI's taxonomy places the organism in Eukaryota, Metazoa, Mollusca, Cephalopoda, Sepiida, Sepiidae.
UUACGGCCACAUCACGUUGAAACAUCGGUUCCCAUACGAUCACUAACGUUAAGCAACAUUGAGCUUGGUCAUUAACUAGAUAGGUGAUGGCUUGGGAUUUCCAGGUGCUACAAG